AACGCACCUUGCACCUUUUGGUUAUUCCAAAAGGUACGCCUGUUUGAGUGUCAUGAAAACCUCUCAUUCCAAUUCUUUUCAUUAAGAAAAGGGUUGCGAUAUGGAUCUUGAGUGCUGCCAUGAUUUGGCUCACUUUAAAUAUAUAAGUACUUUUAUUGAAGAAAUAAAUGGAUAUUUACUCAGUGUAAUAUAUAACUAUUCAUUGGGGAGUGUGGUCAUUUUAAAUGAUGUCUACAGCCAUUUGGUCUUUUGAUAAAUAGCUUCCUAACCUUAUACAUUUUUAUUUACCCGCUGAACUUAAGCAUAUCAAUAAGCGGAGGAAAAGAAACUAACAAGGAUUCCCCUAGUAACGGCGAGUGAAGAGGGAAAAGCCCAAAUUUGUAAUCUGGCUCUUUUAUAGGAGUCCGAGUUGUAAUUUUGAGAACUGUUUUCUGUGCUGGACCAUAUACAAGUCUGUUGGAAAACAGCAUCAUUGAGGGUGAUAAUCCCGUAGAUGAUAUGGACUACCAGUGCAAUAUGAUACAGUCUCUAAGAGUCGAGUUGUUUGGGAAUGCAGCUCAAAGAGGGUGGUAAAUUCCAUCUAAGGCUAAAUAUAGGUGAGAGACCGAUAGCAAACAAGUACCGUGAGGGAAAGAUGAAAAGAACUUUGGAAAGAGAGUUAACAGUACGUGAAAUUGUUAAAAGGGAAACAUUUGAAGUUAGACUUGUUAUUAUUGGUUCAGCUUCUCUUUUUUAAUUAGGAGUUUAUUCCAAUGGUUGACAGACCAGCAUCAAUUUUUGAGUGUUAGAUAAGGGUCUUGGAGAAUGUGGCAACUUUGGUUGUGUUAUAGCUCCUGGCUUGAUAUAAUGCUUAAGAUUGAGGAACGCAGUGAGCUUCUUGGCGGAUUCUUUUUUGAAUCUUCAUCACUACGGAUGUUGGUGUAAUAGCUUUAAAUGACCCGU
This 942-nucleotide ribosomal RNA is filed under the name Coleosporium plumeriae. Its description in RNAcentral is "eukaryotic LSU rRNA". The stretch from base 265 to 942 matches the Rfam family "Eukaryotic large subunit ribosomal RNA", at positions 1 to 652 of the family's 3401-position model. The record is from RNAcentral. Lineage: Eukaryota; Fungi; Basidiomycota; Pucciniomycetes; Pucciniales; Coleosporiaceae.